RNAcentral lists this ribosomal RNA (406 nucleotides) under uncultured bacterium. RNAcentral describes it as "bacterial SSU rRNA". It matches the Rfam family "Bacterial small subunit ribosomal RNA", at positions 541 to 949 of the family's 1533-position model. The record is from RNAcentral.
UUAUCCGGAUUUAUUGGGUUUAAAGGGAGCGUAGAUGGAUGUUUAAGUCAGUUGUGAAAGUUUGCGGCUCAACCGUAAAAUUGCAGUUGAUACUGGAUGUCUUGAGUGCAGUUGAGGCAGGCGGAAUUCGUGGUGUAGCGGUGAAAUGCUUAGAUAUCACGAAGAACUCCGAUUGCGAAGGCAGCCUGCUAAGCUGCAACUGACAUUGAGGCCCGAAAGUGUGGGUAUCAAACAGGAUUAGAUACCCUGGUAGUCCACACGGUAAACGAUGAAUACUCGCUGUUUGCGAUAUACGGCAAGCGGCCAAGCGAAAGCGUUAAGUAUUCCACCUGGGGAGUACGCCGGCAACGGUGAAACUCAAAGGAAUUGACGGGGGCCCGCACAAGCGGAGGAACAUGUGGUUUAA